RNAcentral lists this ribosomal RNA (335 nucleotides) under uncultured prokaryote. RNAcentral describes it as "bacterial SSU rRNA". It matches the Rfam family "Bacterial small subunit ribosomal RNA", at positions 26 to 352 of the family's 1533-position model. The record is from RNAcentral.
AGGACGAACGCUGGCGGCGUGCUUAACACAUGCAAGUCGAACGAGAUCCAUUUGGUGGUAACACCAGAGAAGAUCUAGUGGCGAACGGGUGAGUAACACGUGAGCAACCUACCCCGAAGAUUGGGAUAACACCGGGAAACCGAUGCUAAUACCGAAUACCCCCACCGGGUCACAUGGCCUGAUGAGGAAAUGGGUUUCUGCUUCGGGAGGGGCUCGCGGCCUAUCAGCUUGUUGGUAGGGUAAUGGCCUACCAAGGCUACGAUCGGUAGCUGGUCUGAGAGGAUGAUCAGCCACACUGGGACUGAGACACGGCCCAGACUCCUACGGGAGGCAGC